UACGUAGGGGGGCGAGCGUUAUCCGGAAUCACUGGGCGUAAAGGGCGCGUAGGUGGCGCGACAAGUCAGUGGUGAAAGUUCGACGCUCAACGUCGAAUCGGCCACUGAUACUGUUGGGCUUGAGCACUGUAGAGGCUAAUGGAAUUCCGGGUGUAGCGGUGGAAUGCGUAGAGAUCCGGAAGAACACCGGUGGCGAAGGCGGCACUCUGGGACGGUACUGACGCUGAGACGCGAAAGCGUGGGGAGCGAACAGG
Molecule: ribosomal RNA, 254 nt
Filed under: uncultured bacterium
Lineage: Bacteria
Description: partial 16S ribosomal RNA
Rfam family: Bacterial small subunit ribosomal RNA
Source: RNAcentral